RNAcentral lists this ribosomal RNA (448 nucleotides) under Roseobacter sp. KAT10. RNAcentral's name for it is "bacterial SSU rRNA". It matches the Rfam family "Bacterial small subunit ribosomal RNA", at positions 14 to 508 of the family's 1533-position model. The record is from RNAcentral. Lineage: Bacteria; Pseudomonadati; Pseudomonadota; Alphaproteobacteria; Rhodobacterales; Roseobacteraceae.
UGAUCAUGGCUCAGAACGAACGCUGGCGGCAGGCCUAACACAUGCAAGUCGAGCGCACCCUUCGGGGCGAGCGGCGGACGGGUUAGUAACGCGUGGGAACAUACCCUUUUCUACGGAAUAGCCUCGGGAAACUGAGAGUAAUACCGUAUACGCCCUUCGGGGGAAAGAUUUAUCGGAGAAGGAUUGGCCCGCGUUAGAUUAGAUAGUUGGUGGGGUAAUGGCCUACCAAGUCUACGAUCUAUAGCUGGUUUUAGAGGAUGAUCAGCAACACUGGGACUGAGACACGGCCCAGACUCCUACGGGAGGCAGCAGUGGGGAAUCUUAGACAAUGGGCGCAAGCCUGAUCUAGCCAUGCCGCGUGUGUGAUGAAGGCCUUAGGGUCGUAAAGCACUUUCGCCAGGGAUGAUAAUGACAGUACCUGGUAAAGAAACCCCGGCUAACUCCGUGC